This 1556-nucleotide ribosomal RNA is filed under the name Pseudomonas sp. NFPP15. RNAcentral describes it as "bacterial LSU rRNA". It matches the Rfam family "Bacterial large subunit ribosomal RNA", at positions 1390 to 2925 of the family's 2925-position model. The record is from RNAcentral. Lineage: Bacteria; Pseudomonadati; Pseudomonadota; Gammaproteobacteria; Pseudomonadales; Pseudomonadaceae. RNAcentral also lists the same sequence under 1 other name.
CCUAAGGCGAGGCUGAAAAGCGUAGUCGAUGGAAAACAGGUUAAUAUUCCUGUACUUCUAGUUAUUGCGAUGGAGGGACGGAGAAGGCUAGGCCAGCUUGGCGUUGGUUGUCCAAGUUUAAGGUGGUAGGCUGGAAUCUUAGGUAAAUCCGGGGUUCUAAGGCCGAGAGCUGAUGACGAGUUACCUUUUAGGUGACGAAGUGGUUGAUGCCAUGCUUCCAAGAAAAGCUUCUAAGCUUCAGAUAACUAGGAACCGUACCCCAAACCGACACAGGUGGUUGGGUAGAGAAUACCAAGGCGCUUGAGAGAACUCGGGUGAAGGAACUAGGCAAAAUGGCACCGUAACUUCGGGAGAAGGUGCGCCGGUGAGGGUGAAGGACUUGCUCCGUAAGCUCAUGCCGGUCGAAGAUACCAGGCCGCUGCGACUGUUUAUUAAAAACACAGCACUCUGCAAACACGAAAGUGGACGUAUAGGGUGUGACGCCUGCCCGGUGCCGGAAGGUUAAUUGAUGGGGUUAGCUAACGCGAAGCUCUUGAUCGAAGCCCCGGUAAACGGCGGCCGUAACUAUAACGGUCCUAAGGUAGCGAAAUUCCUUGUCGGGUAAGUUCCGACCUGCACGAAUGGCGUAACGAUGGCGGCGCUGUCUCCACCCGAGACUCAGUGAAAUUGAAAUCGCUGUGAAGAUGCAGUGUAUCCGCGGCUAGACGGAAAGACCCCGUGAACCUUUACUAUAGCUUUGCACUGGACUUUGAAUUUGCUUGUGUAGGAUAGGUGGGAGGCUUUGAAGCGUGAACGCCAGUUUGCGUGGAGCCAUCCUUGAAAUACCACCCUGGCAACUUUGAGGUUCUAACUCAGGUCCGUUAUCCGGAUCGAGGACAGUGUAUGGUGGGUAGUUUGACUGGGGCGGUCUCCUCCUAAAGAGUAACGGAGGAGUACGAAGGUGCGCUCAGACCGGUCGGAAAUCGGUCGUAGAGUAUAAAGGCAAAAGCGCGCUUGACUGCGAGACAGACACGUCGAGCAGGUACGAAAGUAGGUCUUAGUGAUCCGGUGGUUCUGUAUGGAAGGGCCAUCGCUCAACGGAUAAAAGGUACUCCGGGGAUAACAGGCUGAUACCGCCCAAGAGUUCAUAUCGACGGCGGUGUUUGGCACCUCGAUGUCGGCUCAUCACAUCCUGGGGCUGAAGCCGGUCCCAAGGGUAUGGCUGUUCGCCAUUUAAAGUGGUACGCGAGCUGGGUUUAGAACGUCGUGAGACAGUUCGGUCCCUAUCUGCCGUGGACGUUUGAGAUUUGAGAGGGGCUGCUCCUAGUACGAGAGGACCGGAGUGGACGAACCUCUGGUGUUCCGGUUGUCACGCCAGUGGCAUUGCCGGGUAGCUAUGUUCGGAAAAGAUAACCGCUGAAAGCAUCUAAGCGGGAAACUUGCCUCAAGAUGAGAUCUCACUGGAACCUUGAGUUCCCUAAAGGGCCGUCGAAGACUACGACGUUGAUAGGUUGGGUGUGUAAGCGCUGUGAGGCGUUGAGCUAACCAAUACUAAUUGCCCGUGAGGCUUGACCAUA